RNAcentral lists this ribosomal RNA (253 nucleotides) under uncultured bacterium. RNAcentral's name for it is "partial 16S ribosomal RNA". It matches the Rfam family "Bacterial small subunit ribosomal RNA", at positions 524 to 776 of the family's 1533-position model. The record is from RNAcentral.
UACGAAGGGGGCUAGCGUUGCUCGGAAUCACUGGGCGUAAAGCGCACGUAGGCGGGUUGCUAAGUCAGGGGUGAAAUCCUGGAGCUCAACUCCAGAACUGCCUUUGAUACUGGCGACCUCGAGUCCGGGAGAGGUGAGUGGAACUGCGAGUGUAGAGGUGAAAUUCGUAGAUAUUCGCAAGAACACCAGUGGCGAAGGCGGCUCACUGGCCCGAUACUGACGCUGAGGCACGAAAGCGUGGGGAGCAAACAGG